ACGGAGCAAUACCGCGUGCGGGAGGAAGGCUCUUGGGUUGUAAACCGCUUUUGUCAGGGAAGAACACAAUGACGGUACCUGACGAAUCAGCAUCGGCUAACUCCGUGCCAGCAGCCGCGGUAAUACGGAGGAUGCAAGCGUUAUCCGGAAUUAUUGGGCGUAAAGCGUCCGCAGGUGGCUUUACAAGUCUGCUGUCAAAGCGCAGAGCUUAACUCUGUACAGGCGGUGGAAACUGUUGAGCUAGAGUACGGUAGGGGUAGCGGGAAUUCCCGGUGUAGCGGUGAAAUGCGUAGAUAUCGGGAAGAACACCAGCGGCGAAAGCGCGCUACUGGGCCGUAACUGACACUCAUGGACGAAAGCUAGGGGAGCG
RNAcentral lists this ribosomal RNA (370 nucleotides) under uncultured cyanobacterium. Its description in RNAcentral is "bacterial SSU rRNA". It matches the Rfam family "Bacterial small subunit ribosomal RNA", at positions 386 to 770 of the family's 1533-position model. The record is from RNAcentral. Lineage: Bacteria; Bacillati; Cyanobacteriota.